AGUAACACGUGGGCAACCUGCCCUCAGCUCUGGGAUAACUCCAAGAAAUUGGGGCUAAUACCGGAUAUGACUGCUGACCGCAUGGUCUGGUGGUGGAAAGAUUUAUCGGCUGGGGAUGGGCCCGCGGCCUAUCAGCUUGUUGGUGGGGUAGUGGCCUACCGAGGCGACGACGGGUAGCCGGCCUGAGAGGGUGACCGGCCACACUGGGACUGAGACACGGCCCAG
RNAcentral lists this ribosomal RNA (225 nucleotides) under uncultured bacterium. Its description in RNAcentral is "partial 16S ribosomal RNA". It matches the Rfam family "Bacterial small subunit ribosomal RNA", at positions 109 to 334 of the family's 1533-position model. The record is from RNAcentral.